This is a long non-coding RNA of Cornus florida, 2644 nucleotides long. RefSeq lists it as uncharacterized. The transcript is spliced from 2 exons. The record is from RefSeq and is a predicted model, not a curated record. Lineage: Eukaryota; Viridiplantae; Streptophyta; Magnoliopsida; Cornales; Cornaceae.
AACAUGGAUCGACUCGGUUGAUUUUAAACCUUUUUUCUCAGAGCAGAGCAAGGACCAAGAGGGGUACACUAUUGCUAAGUAUUUCUCAUAAAAGAAUAUAAAAAAUAAAAAAUAAAAAAUAAAUUAGAGUUUGUUUGUAAGAGGUGGUGUGACGUGGAACUGCAGUUAUAUUGAUACAAUAUCAGACAAUCAACCAAUCAAAUUUCAAGAUGAUAUGUAAAACAUAGUAUGUAUUUGUAAUUAAAUUGCUUCGUGUAAACUUUCCAAAAAAAAAAAAUUGCUUCGUGUGUAUAUAUAUAUCCCCCAGCACAUCCCUUCCCCACUAUUACCCCCUUCUCUCUCUCUCUCUCUCUCUCUCUCUUUCUCUCUCUCGUUGUCACAAAUCUGCAUCCAGUUCUGGCCUGGAAGUUAGAUCUCUACCUUAUUUUCCUCCCAGUUUAAGUGUAUUUUAUUACUUUUUUACUUCUAUUUGUUGGUAGUUUAUAUUUAUUUGUUCUUACCCUUGUCUUCGUGUGUUAGGUUUUUCUGCCAAUAUAUAUAUAUAUAUAUAUAUAUAUAUAUAUAUUAAUCUUACCUAUAGAAGGUAUGGCUAAUCGCCGGAAUCUGACAUGGGUAGAUAAUACACCAACUGGGUUUUAUUGGUUUGGCCGGAAUCUGACAUGGGUACUCUCUUUCUCCUUCAGAAUCUGACCGGAGAAUCUAACCCCACAUAUCCAAAAAAACAAAAACAAACUACCAGCUGUUGUUGUUGCUUUCGAUUCCAUUUGUUAAUUAGUUUUUCUCGUGGCCUGUUUUUGAUUUGCAACACUAUUGGUUUCUAAUAGAAAAUAGAGUUUUGUUUUGUUUCUUUUCUGUUGUUUAAAAUAUAUUUACAGAUUCUUCUUCUGUACCCUCUUCACACCAUCCUUUUUUUCUUCAACCACUGGUAAUAGGCCACAUAUCACAUAUGCGUAUAUAUAUUGAUAUGUAUAGGUGUAUACACAGUGGUGUAUUUUCUCUAUUUCAGCUGACCGAUCUCCUUAAAUGAAAUCACUUCAAUGGUCCUUUUGAAGCCCUUUCUCUCUCUAAAUCAUCGUUAUUGUUGGUGAUGGUGAUGGUGAUGGUGGUGGUGGUGGUUGUGGGUGGUGGUGGUGCAUGGAUUGAUUGAUUGACAGUCGUUGUUUGCAGGUGUAGCAUCAUCAAGAUUCACAUGCAAAGGCAAAGGCACCGUCUAGACGAAGCAAAUCUAGCUUGACUGUGCCAAAGCUUUUGAAGAUGGGAAUCUUGAUGAUGCUGCAUCAGCAAUAAAUGACUACCUAUAUAUGGUAUAUAAACCCUAUUCGAUCAAUUGCAGACAGAAAAUGAAUCAAUCCACAAGUCAAAAUUGUCCCAACCUUUGCAAUUCAACAAGGACAUAAGGUGAUAUUUUCUAUUUGUGUCACGAUUCUGCCAGGUGGGGUUUAGCUAUUUUGAGGCAACAUCUUUAUACUGAUAGCAAUCUGUCAAUAGAUUCUAUUAUUUAUAUACGUUUUUAUGUGUGUGUGUAUGUGCAUGUUCUCCCUCUGUGUGUAUGUGUUUUUCCUUUCUAAUAUGCAUUCUGCGGCAUAAAUGAACAAAGUCCUAUAUCAGAUUAGUUCUUGGAUAAUGAGUAUUUUCUUUCUAAUAUCAAUCUUGUGGCAUAAAUGAGCAAAGACCUAUAUAGUUCUUGGAUAAUGAUUAUUAGACCUGAUAGUCUAACCGAGGAGUUAUAUAGCCCAGAGUUCCUUAUCUAUGUGAUGCAUUAGAUUUGGCGAAAACUUGAUUUUGUUCAAUGUAUUCAAUGGAUGUAUAAGAAACUAUGUGCUAGACUAAUCGGUUAGACUAUUAGGUAUGAAUAGUAUUGAUGUUAGUUCAUUGCAUUCUAACUGUGAAUGGCAUUGAAGGAAAGCUGUGCUCUAGCUGACUCCGCAGAUCUGUGAUUAUUCUCUUCAAGAAGGAAGCUUUGAUUGAUAUGGUAUUUCUCUAUUUCCUGAUGGAAAUGGCCAGAGUUCAGAUGUUGUCUAUAGGAUAAUGUAUAUGUGUGUGUGUGUAUAUAUAUGUAUAUAUUUGAAAGGUUUAUAUAUACAUAUAUAUGUAUGUAUGGAGAGAGUGAGUCUUGAUGAUACUGCAUGAGCAAUGAUUCCUAUAGAAGGCAAAUCUUCAUAUAUCAUUAUUAUCUAGCUGUGUUGAGUGAUUGGUAUAAAGAUCUAUCAAUGAACUCUCACAGAUUAUUUUUUCUGACUCUUUUUUUUUUGCAGAUAAAUGGUUUUGGAUAUCAAACUCAUUAACAGACUUAGACCGUGAAUGUAGAAAUUGCUAAUAUUGGGAAAGAAAACAUCUGGGCAAAAGGGUGCAAAACAAGCAGGAUGUACUUCCCAACAUUUAACUCCAGUUGCUGAUUCUAUGGCUGCUGUUUAAUUAUUUGUCCUCCGCCUUUCUUUGGUUCUUCGUGUUCAUGAGGUGCAAGCGUCGUUAAGAAAUUACCUUCUCUAUUUUCGAAGGACCGAUCAAGGCUACAUGCAUUUGAAGAACAUAUAUAGAAUAAUACCGAUAUUUAAUUUGAUUGUUAGCGGUAAUCUUUUGUAAUUCUAAGCCACCCGAAGAAUGUUUGCUUUAAGGAAAUACAUGAUUGAAUGCGAUUUUAAUA